UACGUAGGGUGCAAGCGUUGUCCGGAAUUAUUGGGCGUAAAGGGCUCGUAGGCGGCCAACUAAGUCGGACGUGAAAUCCCCAGGCUCAACCUGGGAACUGCGUCCGAUACUGGAUGGCUUGAAUUCGGGAGAGGGAUGCAGAAUUCCAGGUGUAGCGGUGAAAUGCGUAGAUAUCUGGAGGAAUACCGGUGGCGAAGGCGGCAUCCUGGACCGACAUUGACGCUGAUGAGCGAAAGCUAGGGGAGCAAACGGG
Molecule: ribosomal RNA, 253 nt
Filed under: uncultured bacterium
Lineage: Bacteria
Description: partial 16S ribosomal RNA
Rfam family: Bacterial small subunit ribosomal RNA
Source: RNAcentral